CUACGAAGGGGGCUAGCGUUGUUCGGAAUUACUGGGCGUAAAGCGCGCGUAGGCGGACUGAUCAGUUGGGGGUGAAAUCCCAGGGCUUAACCCUGGAACUGCCUCCAAUACUGUCAGUCUUGAGUUCGGGAGAGGUGAGUGGAAUUCCUAGUGUAGAGGUGAAAUUCGUAGAUAUUUGGAAGAACACCAGUGGCGAAGGCGGCUCACUGGCCCGAUACUGACGCUGAGGCGCGAAAGCGUGGGGAGCAAACAGGAUUAGAAACCCUAGUAGUCC
RNAcentral lists this ribosomal RNA (274 nucleotides) under uncultured bacterium. RNAcentral's name for it is "partial 16S ribosomal RNA". It matches the Rfam family "Bacterial small subunit ribosomal RNA", at positions 523 to 796 of the family's 1533-position model. The record is from RNAcentral.